GUGGCGAACGGGUGAGUAACACGUGGAUGAUCUACCUUCAGAAUUGGGAUAGCUAUUGGAAACGAUAAUUAAUACCAAAUAAUAUAAUUGCUACAUAAGUAGUGAUUUUUAAAGGCGGGGACUUUUAGCCUGCCGUCUGAAGAUGAGUCCGCGUCCCAUUAGCUAGUUGGCAGGGUAAUGGCCUACCAAGGCAACGAUGGGUAGCCGGCCUGAGAGGGUGGUCGGCCACAUUGGGACUGAGACACGGCCCAGACUCCUACGGGAGGCAGCAGUUAAGAAUCUUGGACAAUGGGCGAAAGCCUGAUCCAGCGACGCCGCGUGGACGAUGAAGGCCUUUGGGUUGUAAAGUCCGGUAAGCAGGGAAGAAUAAGUGAAGUAUAAUACGCUUCAUGAUGACGGUACCUGUCUAAAGCCUCGGCUAACUACGUGCCAGCAGCCGCGGUAACACGUAUGAGGCAAGCGUUGUUCGGAAUUAUUGGGCGUAAAGGGCGUGUAGGCGGGGGAUUAAGUUAGAUGUGAAAUCCAUAGGCUCAACCUGUGAAUUGCAUUUAAUACUGGUUCUCUUGAGUUCGGGAGAGGAGAGCGGAAUUUCCGGUGUAGCGGUGAAAUGCGUAGAUAUCGGAAAGAACACCAGUGGCGAAGGCGGCUCUCUGGCCUAGAACUGACGCUGAUACGCGAAAGCGUGGGGAGCGAACGGGAUUAGAUACCCCGGUAGUCCACGCCGUAAACGUUGUAUACUAGGUGUAAGUGAUUUUAAUCAUUUGUGCCGCAGCUAACGCAUUAAGUAUACCGCCUGGGGAGUACACUCGCAAGGGUGAAACUCAAAGAAAUUGACGGGGCCCCGCACAAGCGGAGGAUCAUGUGGUUUAAUUCGAUCCUACGCGAAGAACCUUACCUGGGCUUGAACUGUGCCUGACAGGUGUAGAGAUACACCCUCCUUCGGGCAGGUACAGAGGUGUUGCAUGGUUGUCGUCAGCUCGUGUCGUGAGAUGUUGGGUUAAGUCCCGCAACGAGCGCAACCCUUACCCCUUGUUGCUAACAGGUUAUGCUGAGCACUCUAGGGGGACUGCCGGUGGUAAACCGGAGGAAGGUGAGGAUGACGUCAAAUCAUCACGGCCCUUAUGUCCAGGGCUACACACGUGAUACAAUGGUUGGUACAAAGAGAUGCAAGACCGCGAGGUGGAGCAAAUCUCAAAAAACCAAUCUCAGUUCGGAUUGCAGUCUGCAACUCGACUGCAUGAAGUUGGAUUCGCUAGUAAUCGCAGAUCAGAACGCUGCGGUGAAUACGUUCCCGGGGCUUGUACACACCGCCCGUCACACCAUCCGAGUUGGCAGCACCCAAAGCGGCUGAUCUAACCCGUAAGGGGGGAAGGUCGUU
This 1378-nucleotide ribosomal RNA is filed under the name metagenome. RNAcentral's name for it is "bacterial SSU rRNA". It matches the Rfam family "Bacterial small subunit ribosomal RNA", at positions 95 to 1458 of the family's 1533-position model. The record is from RNAcentral.